CCUACGGGAGGCAGCAGUGGGGAAUAUUGGACAAUGGGCGAAAGCCUGAUCCAGCCAUGCCGCGUGUGUGAAGAAGGUCUUCGGAUUGUAAAGCACUUUAAGUUGGGAGGAAGGGUUGUAGAUUAAUACUCUGCAAUUUUGACGUUACCAACAGAAUAAGCACCGGCUAACUUCGUGCCAGCAGCCGCGGUAAUACGAAGGGUGCAAGCGUUAAUCGGAAUUACUGGGCGUAAAGCGCGCGUAGGUGGUUCGUUAAGUUGGAUGUGAAAGCCCCGGGCUC
This 280-nucleotide ribosomal RNA is filed under the name uncultured bacterium. Its description in RNAcentral is "partial 16S ribosomal RNA". It matches the Rfam family "Bacterial small subunit ribosomal RNA", at positions 338 to 610 of the family's 1533-position model. The record is from RNAcentral.